RNAcentral lists this ribosomal RNA (468 nucleotides) under uncultured bacterium. Its description in RNAcentral is "partial 16S ribosomal RNA". It matches the Rfam family "Bacterial small subunit ribosomal RNA", at positions 28 to 507 of the family's 1533-position model. The record is from RNAcentral.
GACGAACGCUGGCGGCGUGCUUAACACAUGCAAGUCGAACGGAAAGGCCCUGCUUUUGUGGGGUGCUCGAGUGGCGAACGGGUGAGUAACACGUGAGUAACCUGCCCUUGACUUUGGGAUAACUUCAGGAAACUGGGGCUAAUACCGGAUAGGAGCUCCUGCUGCAUGGUGGGGGUUGGAAAGUUUCGGCGGUUGGGGAUGGACUCGCGGCUUAUCAGCUUGUUGGUGGGGUAGUGGCUUACCAAGGCUUUGACGGGUAGCCGGCCUGGGAGGGUGACCGGCCACAUUGGGACUGCGAUACGGCCCAGACUCCUACGGGAGGCAGCAGUGGGGAAUAUUGCACAAUGGGCGGAAGCGUGAUGCAGCAACGCCGCGUGCGUGAUGACGGCCUUCGGGUUGUAAACCGCUUUCGCCUGUGACGAAGCGUGAGUGACGGUAAUGGGUAAAGAAGCACCGGCUAACUACGUG